UUCUUUGUGUGUCUUGUCCCUCCCACUCUCUCUCUCCCCUGCCCUAGGUCCCCAAUGAUUAUCUCUGCAGGUCGGGGCAAACUGGUACCCAACCUGGAACCUCUGGGUCUGGGGCCUGAGAGAGACCACUCUUUGCACUGAACCAUCGCUUCUUCAGGAAGUGAGUUAAGGUCCGCUCAGAGAUCGCUGCAGUGUCACCCAUACAGUGAGAUUGAUCCAAGAAAGCACUUUUCUCCAAGACACUGCUACCCACUGUGAGGCUGAACCUGGCUUCCUGAGAUGUUCCUGAAUAAGCAAAAGCCUGGCGACCCAGUGAUGACAGUCUGGUGACAAAGUACCUGGAAUGGUGGGGGAUGGGCCUUCCCCCUUUAUAAGCUCAGACUCUUAAGUAAACUUUAGGCCUUGAUCAGUA
This 412-nucleotide long non-coding RNA is filed under the name Mus caroli (Ryukyu mouse). Its description in RNAcentral is "lncRNA (MGP_CAROLIEiJ_G0005343.1)". The record is from RNAcentral. Lineage: Eukaryota; Metazoa; Chordata; Mammalia; Rodentia; Muridae.